AGCUAUACAUGCAGUUCGAGCGGACUUGAAGAGAAGCUUGCUUCCUCUGAUGGUUAGCGGCGGACGGGUGAGUAACACGUAGGCAACCUGCCCUCAAGUUUGGGACAACUACCGGAAACGGUAGCUAAUACCGAAUAGUUGUUUUCUUCUCCUGAAGAGAACUGGAAAGACGGAGCAAUCUGUCACUUGGGGAUGGGCCUGCGGCGCAUUAGCUAGUUGGUGGGGUAACGGCUCACCAAGGCGACGAUGCGUAGCCGACCUGAGAGGGUGAUCGGCCACACUGGGACUGAGACACGGCCCAGACUCCUACGGGAGGCAGCAGUAGGGAAUCUUCCGCAAUGGGCGAAAGCCUGACGGAGCAAUGCCGCGUGAGUGAUGAAGGUUUUCGGAUCGUAAAGCUCUGUUGCCAGGGAAGAACGCUUGGGAGAGUAACUGCUCUCAAGGUGACGGUACCUGAGAAGAAAGCCCCGGCUAACUACGUGCCAGCAGCCGCGGUAAUACGUAGGGGGCAAGCGUUGUCCGGAAUUAUUGGGCGUAAAGCGCGCGCAGGCGGUCAUUUAAGUCUGGUGUUUA
This 573-nucleotide ribosomal RNA is filed under the name Paenibacillus taichungensis. RNAcentral's name for it is "bacterial SSU rRNA". It matches the Rfam family "Bacterial small subunit ribosomal RNA", at positions 47 to 598 of the family's 1533-position model. The record is from RNAcentral. Lineage: Bacteria; Bacillati; Bacillota; Bacilli; Caryophanales; Paenibacillaceae.